AUCUUGGUUCAGGAUGAACGCUAGCUACAGGCUUAACACAUGCAAGUCGAGGGCAGCAGGACGAUAGCUUGCUAUGUUGCUGGCGACCGGCGCACGGGUGAGUAACGCGUAUCCAACCUUCCCCUUAGUAGGGCAUAGCCCGGCGAAAGUCGGAUUAAUACCCUAUGUUAUCCGAAGAGGACAUCUGAAUUGGAUUAAAGAUUUAUCGCUAAGGGAUGGGGAUGCGUCUGAUUAGGUAGUCGGCGGGGUAACGGCCCACCGAGCCUACGAUCAGUAGGGGUUCUGAGAGGAAGGUCCCCCACAUUGGUACUGAGACACGGACCAAACUCCUACGGGAGGCAGCAGUGAGGAAUAUUGGUCAAUGGGCGCGAGCCUGAACCAGCCAAGUAGCGUGCAAGGAUGACGGCCCUAUGGGUUGUAAACUGCUUUUAUGCGGGGAUAAAGUGCGGCACGUGUGCCGUUUUGUAGGUACCGCAUGAAUAAGGACCGGCUAAUUCCGUGCCAGCAGCCGC
This 512-nucleotide ribosomal RNA is filed under the name uncultured bacterium. RNAcentral's name for it is "bacterial SSU rRNA". It matches the Rfam family "Bacterial small subunit ribosomal RNA", at positions 16 to 518 of the family's 1533-position model. The record is from RNAcentral.